GUGGGUAGUUUGACUGGGGCGGUCUCCUCCUAAAGAGUAACGGAGGAGCACGAAGGUUGGCUAAUCCUGGUCGGACAUCAGGAGGUUAGUGCAAUGGCAUAAGCCAGCUUGACUGCGAGCGUGACGGCGCGAGCAGGUGCGAAAGCAGGUCAUAGUGAUCCGGUGGUUCUGAAUGGAAGGGCCAUCGCUCAACGGAUAAAAGGUACUCCGGGGAUAACAGGCUGAUACCGCCCAAGAGUUCAUAUCGACGGCGGUGUUUGGCACCUCGAUGUCGGCUCAUCACAUCCUGGGGCUGAAGUAGGUCCCAAGGGUAUGGCUGUUCGCCAUUUAAAGUGGUACGCGAGCUGGGUUUAGAACGUCGUGAGACAGUUCGGUCCCUAUCUGCCGUGGGCGCUGGAGA
RNAcentral lists this ribosomal RNA (400 nucleotides) under Salmonella enterica. Its description in RNAcentral is "partial 23S ribosomal RNA". It matches the Rfam family "Bacterial large subunit ribosomal RNA", at positions 2261 to 2660 of the family's 2925-position model. Lineage: Bacteria; Pseudomonadati; Pseudomonadota; Gammaproteobacteria; Enterobacterales; Enterobacteriaceae. RNAcentral also lists the same sequence under 1 other name. The record is from RNAcentral.